AGAGAGAGGGAGACGCAGAAUCCAAAGCAGGCUCCAGGCUCUGAGCUGUGAGCACAGAGGCUCACAGGGGGCUCCAACUCAACGAACCGGGAGAUCACGACCUGAGCCCAAGACAGGCGCUAAACCGACUGAGCCACCCAGGCGCUUAUUAACAAAUCCUGUCAGAUUCCAGUUCAAGAUGGCGACUUCGGAAGGCUCUGAGCUCACCUCCUCCACAGAGCAGACGGAAUUUACACGUAUAAAUAGGAUAGUUCCUCCCGAAGAGAUCUGAAGGCUGAUGGAACAGCUACUGAAUAGCCAAAGACAGGAAGAAGGACAAGGCGGAGACAAGAAACACUGGAUGGAUACUGAAAAGGACACCCUACUGGGCCAAGCUGUGUAGGAGUACACGGGAUGCAAGUGUUCCAAACAUCCAUCAGCUCCUCGGUUCACCCCAGGUGCUGUAAGCCACACCCAUCCACACCUGCUUCCAGAUGGCCCUCCUUCCACAGCGUCCUAAGAACUGCCACCCUCCUGACAGCUACUGCCACAAGCAAACUUCAGGUGUUUUCAAGGUAUGUAAGUUGCAUGGUGCAGCCCAAGGUUGGACCACGAACUCAGACCAGCAAAGCCAGAAGUCAGGUGAGCUACCAUUCUGAAACUAAGUGAUACAUAACAAAUGGCUGACUAUGUGACAAAGGUAAUAAGUUGUAUUAGCUAAAA
Molecule: long non-coding RNA, 702 nt
Organism: Acinonyx jubatus (cheetah)
Lineage: Eukaryota; Metazoa; Chordata; Mammalia; Carnivora; Felidae
Exons: 3
Source: RefSeq, a predicted model, not a curated record